GACGAACGCUGGCGGCGUGCUUAACACAUGCAAGUCGAACGGAAAGGCCCUGCUUUUGUGGGGUGCUCGAGUGGCGAACGGGUGAGUAACACGUGAGUAACCUGCCCUUGACUUUGGGAUAACUUCAGGAAACUGGGGCUAAUACCGGAUAGGAGCUCCUGCUGCAUGGUGGGGGUUGGAAAGUUUCGGCGGUUGGGGAUGGACUCGCGGCUUAUCAGCUUGUUGGUGGGGUAGUGGCUUACCAAGGCUUUGACGGGUAGCCGGCCUGAGAGGGUGACCGGCCACAUGGGGACUGAGAUAGGGCCCAGACUCCUACGGGAGGCAGCAGUGGGGAAUAUUGCACAAUGGGAGGAAGCCUGAGGCAGCAACGCCGCGUGCGGGAUGACGGCCUUCGGGUUGUAAACCGCUUUCGCCUGUGACGAAGCGUGAGUGACGGUAAUGGGUAAAGAAGCACCGGCUAACUACGUG
This 468-nucleotide ribosomal RNA is filed under the name uncultured bacterium. Its description in RNAcentral is "partial 16S ribosomal RNA". It matches the Rfam family "Bacterial small subunit ribosomal RNA", at positions 28 to 507 of the family's 1533-position model. The record is from RNAcentral.